UACGUAGGGGCCAAGCGUUGUCCGGAUUUAUUGGGCGUAAAGAGCUCGUAGGCGGUGUGUCACGUCGGCCGUGAAAACCUGCAGCUUAACUGUGGGCGUGCGGUCGAUACGGGCAUCACUGGAGUUCGGCAGGGGAGACUGGAAUUCCUGGUGUAGCGGUGAAAUGCGCAGAUAUCAGGAGGAACACCGGUGGCGAAGGCGGGUCUCUGGGCCGAUACUGACGCUGAGGAGCGAAAGCGUGGGGAGCGAACAGG
RNAcentral lists this ribosomal RNA (254 nucleotides) under uncultured bacterium. RNAcentral describes it as "partial 16S ribosomal RNA". It matches the Rfam family "Bacterial small subunit ribosomal RNA", at positions 524 to 776 of the family's 1533-position model. The record is from RNAcentral.